CAACCCUCAAGCCUAGCUUGGUAUUGGGAGUCACUAGCGUAGUGCCCCCUAAAAUCAGUGGCGGUGCCAUUUUGGCCUCAAGUGUAGUAAUACUUCUUGCUUUGGAGGUUGGGAUGUGUGCCUGCCAGUAACUAUUAUUUUUCAAA
Molecule: unclassified non-coding RNA, 146 nt
Filed under: uncultured Leotiomycetes
Lineage: Eukaryota; Fungi; Ascomycota; Leotiomycetes
Description: sequence contains ITS2
Source: RNAcentral